Molecule: ribosomal RNA, 375 nt
Filed under: Ligilactobacillus salivarius
Lineage: Bacteria; Bacillati; Bacillota; Bacilli; Lactobacillales; Lactobacillaceae
Description: bacterial SSU rRNA
Rfam family: Bacterial small subunit ribosomal RNA
Source: RNAcentral
UUAAAUUGAGAGUUUGAUCCUGGCUCAGGACGAACGCUGGCGGCGUGCCUAAUACAUGCAAGUCGAACGAAACUUUCUUACACCGAAUGCUUGCAUUCACCGUAAGAAGUUGAGUGGCGGACGGGUGAGUAACACGUGGGUAACCUGCCUAAAAGAAGGGGAUAACACUUGGAAACAGGUGCUAAUACCGUAUAUUUCUAAGGAUCGCAUGAUCCUUAGAUGAAAGAUGGUUCUGCUAUCGCUUUUAGAUGGACCUGCGGCGUAUUAACUAGUUGGUGGGGUAACGGCCUACCAAGGUGAUGAUACGUAGCCGAACUGAGAGGUUGAUCGGCCACAUUGGGACUGAGACACGGCCCAAACUCCUACGGGAGGCAG